UACGUAGGGUGCGAGCGUUGUCCGGAAUUACUGGGCGUAAAGAGCUCGUAGGUGGUUUGUCGCGUUGUUCGUGAAAACUCACAGCUCAACUGUGGGCGUGCGGGCGAUACGGGCAGACUGGAGUACUGCAGGGGAGACUGGAAUUCCUGGUGUAGCGGUGGAAUGCGCAGAUAUCAGGAGGAACACCGGUGGCGAAGGUGGGUCUCUGGGCAGUAACUGACGCUGAGGAGCGAAAGCGUGGGGAGCGAACAGG
This 253-nucleotide ribosomal RNA is filed under the name uncultured bacterium. Its description in RNAcentral is "partial 16S ribosomal RNA". It matches the Rfam family "Bacterial small subunit ribosomal RNA", at positions 524 to 776 of the family's 1533-position model. The record is from RNAcentral.